Salmo salar (Atlantic salmon) is the source of this 852-nucleotide non-coding RNA. The record is from the annotation of a RefSeq genome assembly. NCBI's taxonomy places the organism in Eukaryota, Metazoa, Chordata, Actinopteri, Salmoniformes, Salmonidae.
AACAUACUGCACCUAGUAGGAAAUAUAUAAGAAAAAGUCAGUUUUGGUCAAUGUUAAGGAAAUCAAAAUCAAAAACACUUUAUUUCUAAUUGAGUAGAUUAAAUCAUUUCUGAAAAGUAUUCAUACCAUAGCAGAGUUAAUUAUUUGAACCACAGUCUAAAGAAAUUCAGCUUGCCAAACAUGCAGGAGGAUUUUGUACCAGCAGUAAUAGGGAUUGUAUCACUGUGGUACACUUUUGGUAGCGGCACCAGACUUGAUGUUGGAAGUAACAGUGUCCCCACCCUCACCGUCCUGCCCCCCUCUAGUGAGGAACUGUCCAGUACAACAACAGCCACACUGACGUGUCUGGCCAACAAGGGCUUCCCCUCAGACUGGACCAUGAGCUGGAAAGUGGACGGGACCAGCAAGAACCAGGAGACCAGUCCUGGGGUCCUGGAGAAGGACGGCCUGUACAGCUGGAGCAGCACCUUGACUCUCACUGCCCAGGAGUGGACCAAGGCAGGAGAGGUGACCUGUGAAGCCCAGCAGAAAUCCCAGACUCCAGUCACCAAGACCCUGAGGAAGGCUGACUGUUCUGGGUAGCACCCCUCAGUCACACACCCCUGUGGAGAGAGGCUGCUGGUUCCUCUGCUUUGACUCUGUUCUGAGAUCAGAUGUUCUGUCUGAUUGAUCACUGACAUGUAGACAAACAGAGGGCUUUGCUUGAGUUCAUGUGUCAAUCCUCUCUGUAGACUGAGGUUGAAUCAGUGUUAGAUUUGAUGUGUUCUGUUUUAUUACUAUUAGAUACUGAAGGAAUAUUUGCUUUGAUGCUUUGAUGAAUAGAUGAAAAUAAAGAUUUCCCUUUGGAACAAA